GUGCUCAUUUCGGCAGCACAUACACUAAAAUUGGAGGGAUACAGAGAAGCUUAGCACGGCCCCUGCGCAAGGAUGACACACAAAAUUGUAAAGCAUUCCGUAUUUUU
Small nuclear RNA from Accipiter nisus (Eurasian sparrowhawk), 107 nucleotides. The record is from Ensembl. Lineage: Eukaryota; Metazoa; Chordata; Aves; Accipitriformes; Accipitridae.